This 433-nucleotide ribosomal RNA is filed under the name uncultured bacterium. RNAcentral describes it as "partial 16S ribosomal RNA". It matches the Rfam family "Bacterial small subunit ribosomal RNA", at positions 31 to 507 of the family's 1533-position model. The record is from RNAcentral.
AAAGAAAGAGGGGGGAAUGAUUAACACAUGCAAGUCGAACGAGACCUUCGGGUCUAGUGGCGCACGGGUGCGUAACGCGUGGGAACCUGCCCUUAGGUUCGGAAUAACUCCCCGAAAGGGGUGCUAAUACCGGAUAAUGUCUUCGGACCAAAGAUUUAUCGCCUUUGGAUGGGCCCGCGUUGGAUUAGCUAGUUGGUAGGGUAAAAGCCUACCAAGGCGACGAUCCAUAGCUGGUCUGAGAGGAUGAUCAGCCACACUGGGACUGAGACACGGCCCAGACUCCUACGGGAGGCAGCAGUGGGGAAUAUUGGACAGUGGGCGAAAGCCUGAUCCAGCAAUGCCGCGUGAGUGAUGAAGGCCUUAGGGUUGUAAAGCUCUUUUACCCGGGAUGAUAAUGACAGUACCGGGAGAAUAAGCUCCGGCUAACUACGUG